AUUGAACGCUGGCGGCAUGCUUUACACAUGCAAGUCGAACGGUAACAGGCCUUCGGGUGCUGACGAGUGGCGAACGGGUGAGUAAUGCAUCGGAACGUACCCAGAGGUGGGGGAUAACGCAGCGAAAGCUGUGCUAAUACCGCAUGUGAUCUGAGGAUGAAAGCGGGGGACCGAGCAGCAAUGUUUGGCCUCGCGCCUUUGGAGCGGCCGAUGUCGGAUUAGCUAGUUGGUGGGGUAAAGGCCUACCAAGGCGACGAUCCGUAGCUGGUCUGAGAGGACGACCAGCGACACGGGGAGUGAGACACGGCCCAGACUCCUACGGGAGGCAGCAGUGGGGAAUUUUGGACAAGGGGCGCAAGCCUGAUCCAGCAAUGCCGCGUGAGGGAAGAAGGCCUUCGGGUUGUAAACCGCUUUUGGCAGGAACGAAACGGUGUCCGCUAAUACCGGGCGCUAAUGACGGUACCUGCAGAAUAAGCACCGGCUAACUACGUG
This 492-nucleotide ribosomal RNA is filed under the name uncultured bacterium. Its description in RNAcentral is "partial 16S ribosomal RNA". It matches the Rfam family "Bacterial small subunit ribosomal RNA", at positions 29 to 507 of the family's 1533-position model. The record is from RNAcentral.